RNAcentral lists this unclassified non-coding RNA (214 nucleotides) under Hevea brasiliensis (rubber tree). The record is from RNAcentral. Lineage: Eukaryota; Viridiplantae; Streptophyta; Magnoliopsida; Malpighiales; Euphorbiaceae.
GAAAAUUUGCAAACUAGUGGAGCUUAUAGCGCUAGAGAAGAAAGUUUGAAGAGAGAGGAGGAAGCCGGAAGACUCAAGUUUCUAUGUCUUUCAAAUGAUGGCAUUGAUGAACAUAUGAUUUGGUUGAUAGGAUUGAAGAACAUAUUUGCUAGGCAAUUACCCAACAUGCCCAAGGAGUAUAUUAUCCAUCACAAGACGGACAAUAUACUCCUUG